Molecule: long non-coding RNA, 4166 nt
Organism: Microplitis mediator
Lineage: Eukaryota; Metazoa; Arthropoda; Insecta; Hymenoptera; Braconidae
Exons: 8
Source: RefSeq, a predicted model, not a curated record
UUUCAAACUAUUGAGUUAAAAAUUCCACAUGUAGAAGAGGUUCAAGAAAAGUGACCAGUCCAGAAUUUUUAGUAAAAAUUUCAAGGGUGGCAGGACUUUGUUUUACCAAAUAGUGAAAUUCGAUAGGAAAAUCAUAUGAUCAAAUAUUUUAAGAAAAAAGUUUUUUUCACAAUAAAUUUUGCAAUUACUAUGCUUGGGGUGGCCACUUUGCUCCACUCUCCUCUAUUAUUAUGAUUAUUAUCAUAAUGACUAUUAUCAGUAUAGAACGAAUAGAAACGGUCGAGAUAUUUAUUUUUGAGGGAAUAAAGAUCUUUACCAUUAAAUAAACUUUUGUGUAUCGUUUAUGUAUAGGAGAGACCGGGGCACGACGGAAUACCGAAAAAAAUUACUAAAAUAAUGAAUUUCAUUAUUAUCGAUAAUUUAUCAUUUAUUUCACGGUUACUGUAAAUUUUUGAGUGAUACAAAGAACUAAGGGUAAAACGGGGCAACUAAAACAUAAAUGAAAAUAAAAAAAAAAUGUAUCAUGCUUCGGAUUGAAAAUAAUUAUUAAUUAUUAUUGACUUCUUAAUCAUUAGUGAAAUGGAAAUAUGAACUGUAAUUAAAACUUUAGGCAACCUGUCGUACCCCGGAAAAAAAUUUUAUACAUGAAUAUAUAUAAUAUUUUGUCAUACCUCGAUGGUGACUUGAUGAGCAGAAGCGCACUGCAAAAAUUGUUGUGAACAUUUUACCGAAAAGUAAUACAGAAAACUGACAGAAGCUGAGCUACCAAAAGGAAUAUGAGAAGAUAUAUAUGCAAUAGCACAUAAUGAAAAUGUAUUAAAAAUGUAAUGAACAAAAACAGCUUUUGUAAAUAUAAAUUGAUGUGCAGAAAAAUUCAGUCAAGAGGAGUUAAUUAAUUCACGAGUUCAAAGUUAAUUACCGUUAUUCUGGAGGAAAAAAAGACUUUGCAGUUUUUUUUAAAACAGAAGGAGAGCUUUGGUUAUUUAGGAAAUGAGGAAAAACGUAUGGGAUUUAGAUUUCUACUGGUUUGUUCAAAACGCUGUAAGCCUAUAGUAUAGAAGUUUGCACAUUAGAAUUUGGCUGAUUAUUUAUAAAUUACGGAAAAUUGAAGUGCAAAAAAAUUUAGUCAAGAGGAGUUAAUUAAUUCACGAGUUCAAAGUCAAUUACCGUUAUUCUGGAGGAAAAAAAAGAUUUUUCAGUUUUUUUUUCAAACAGAAGGAGAGCUUUGGUUAUUUAGGAAAUGAGGAAAAACGUAUGGGAUUUAGAUUUCUACUGAAAAUUGAUGUGCAAAAAAAGUUACUCAAGAGGAGUUAAUUGAUUCACGUGUUCGAAGUUAAUUACCGUUAUUCUGGAGGAAAAAAAAGAUUUUUCAGUUUUUUUUCAAACAGAAGGAGAGCUUUGGUUAUUUAGUAAAUGAGGAAAAAAGUAUGGGAUUUAUAUUUCUACUAGUUUGGACAAAACACUUUAAGCUACGGUAUAAAAGUUUGCAUACUAGAAUUUGGCUGAUUAUUUAGAAAGUACUGAACGAAAAAAAGUUGAUUUCUUAAUGACAAUUCAUGGAUUUUAAAGGAAAAUAUUUCGAACCGUCUAGAAAAAUUUUACGAAUUGUCGGUAUGAUUAACCAUAAGAUAGCAAAAUGACGUCUUGAUGAGUUCUGAAUGAAUUCCUAUUUAUGAUUUGGACGUCUCAUCAACAUCUUAAAGAAGUCUUUAAGAAGUUCUCAAGAUGUCGAAUGAGCCACCUAGCGAACUCAGUAAGACGUCUCUUUAAAAAGAGUUCUCAAAGAGUUAUUUUUUCUGACUUCGCAAAUAAGACUUCAGUAUGAAUUUACCAUGACAUUUUUAAGGAGCUCCUAAUUUUGACUUCAUAAAGAAGAAUACAUUUAGUCGACAAAAAACUGACGUCUUAUUUAUGGAGUCUUCAAGAACUCUUAAUUAAGAGUUCUUAAAAAUGACACCUUUAAGAAAUCAUUAUAAGACCUCUUGAGGACGCCUUCUAAAACACCAAGUAAAGCAGUUAUUCCGACUUGAAUGCUGUCUGGGUUAGCAUGCAGAAUAUAAAGCAAACUUAUUUAUUUAAUGAAAACUAUAGCUGCCCAAUUUCAAAACCUAGAUCAUGCUGCAUCUGGGGUUGAUUGACAUCCAAAUGUGUAAUUAAAUUAUGCAUUUUAAUGAUGAUUUUAAUUUAUUGGCAUUAAAUUUGAAUAUUUCGCUAAAUAUAUCAUUGCUCUCGAUUGAAAAAAAGGGGAGCAAUUUAAUGACAGCGAUCAAUAUUAAUAAUAAAAUUUAUUCAUUGAGUUAUACACAAAAUUAGUUUUGUAUUUUUAAUUGAUGAUAAUUAAUUAAAUAUUAAUGUUAUGACUGGAGCAAUUGUGGAUUCUGAAAGCGCAUUUUGAGAGCAAUUUUUUGGUCUAUUAUUCAUUAAAAAAUAUUAAAUUUCCGCGCCAACUUAGUAGUGGUAUCCAAAUGUCACCCACUUGACUAGCACCCAGGACACUUUGUUUUAUUUGUCACUUGGCUGAAGAAGAGACAGCGGACGAUUUUUUGGCCCGCUGCCCACAUUACCAACCACUUCGUCAAAAAUAUCUAGCACCCCUGGACUUCGACCUCAAUCCUACGCGCAUACUUUCUCUAGACACAGCUAAAAGCACUACGAUGCUUGCUAAAUUUACCUUUGAAAGUUUAAAACUUAGAGCUUGUUUAACUGAAGCUUGACUACUACCUGCUAGUAAAACUUCCCCCUGUCCUCGAGCGUAUUGCCUGCUUGCAGGCGACAUGUAUUUUUACUAUUCCAAAAUAUUAUCUAUGUAAAACAAGAUAUUGUCAUAAGUCUUGUAUUUAAGUUUAUAUUACUGCCUUUCGAUAGGAAAAGCAUUACAAAUUACCUUUGUAUAUUUUCCUCAACUCCUUUAAGAAUAAUAAUAAUAAUAAUAAUAAUAAUAAUAAUAAUAAUUUUUCAGUAAAUUCACCAUAAAAUGAAAUGAUACUAGGCUAUAUAAAGCAUUUAGAAUUUUUCUUAAAUAUGACAGCAAACUUGGAAUACUUGCUCGAACAUCAUCAUAUAAAAAAAUUCAUCGUCAAUCAAAAUAGAAUCUUUCUCUUCCAAAAAUUUUUUUAAAUUUUUCAUUCAAUUUUUUUCCAAAUUUUUUUCUUUUCUUUUUUUAAUUUUGUUCGUUUUAACAUCAUUUAUACGGUCUAAAGUAGAAUAUACUUGCAUCAACUUUACUGAUGAGCCCAGCAAGUAUAUUCGGGGCGAAACCGUUUUAAAAAUAAUAAAUUCAGGACUUUGAUUUUAUUCAAUAAAUGUAUUUUAUUACAGUGCGUACUAAUAAUAUUAGUCCACAUGUAUUUAUUAAUACGAUGAAUCUAAUCUGAAAAGUCAAUAAACAAGACCAGGAAAGCCGUGAUUCCUUUAACAAAAAAUAAAAAGAACUGGUCGUUUCAGUAAAUUCACCAUCAAAUAAAAUAAUAAUAAUAAUAAUAAUAUGACUUUAUAAACUUCAACUUAAUUUUAAACUUUUAUUCAAUUUUCAGAAAUCGAUUAAUUUAUAAACGAACGGAUUCGCAGAUGUCAGGUGAAUAUUUAAAACUUCUUUUUAUACAAUGUAACUUUUUUACAAGUACUUUGAAUCGUUUGUUAUAAAACUAUAACUAUUGAUUGAAUAAUAUACUGCGUCAACUUGUUUUUAUAUUCCUCAAUUUUAUUCAAAUCUUAUUAUUUUAUUUUUACAAUGUACAGGUUUUAUUUUAUGAUACUGAGUCAGCCGACGUCCAAUAAUUUUUGGAUUUUUUUUAAACAAUAAAUUAUAAAAAAAAAAUAUUUAAAAAAAUUGCACCAGUAGUUUUUUUAAUUUUCUACAUCUGCAUAUUUUUAUUUUUAUUUUUUUUUUAAAUUAAUUGUUCAAAAUAAAAUCUAAAAAUUUUUAAUUGUCUGCUAACUUUAGGAUCAAUUUAUUUUAUGACACUGAGUCAGCCGACGUCCAAUAAUUUUUGGAUUUUUUUUAAACAAUAAAUUAUGAAAAAAAAAAUAUUUUAAAAAAUUGCACCUAUAGUUUUUUCAAUUUUCUACAUGUGCAUAUUUUUAUUAAUAUUUUUUUUUUAAAUUAAGUCGUUGAAAAAAAAAUUCGAAAAUUUUUAACUGCCUGCUAAUUUUGCAAUCAUUUCAUU